Molecule: ribosomal RNA, 1909 nt
Filed under: human gut metagenome
Description: bacterial LSU rRNA
Rfam family: Bacterial large subunit ribosomal RNA
Source: RNAcentral
UCAAGUGACUAAGUGCAUGCGGCGGAUGCCUUGGCGAUCACAGGCGAAGAAAGACGCGGCAGCCUGCGAAAAGCUGCGGGGAGCUGGCAAACGAGCUUUGAUCCGCAGAUAUCUGAAUGGGGGAACCCACACCGUAAGGUGUAUCCGUAGCUGAAUACAUAGGUUACGGAGGCGAACGAGGAGAACUGAAACAUCUAAGUAUCCUCAGGAAAAGAAAUCAACCGAGAUUCCGGCAGUAGCGGCGAGCGAACCCGGAGGAGCCUAGCUUUUGAUAGUACGAACUUUAGCCGAAAGGUCCUGGAAAGGCCUGCUAUAGUGGGUGAUAGCCCCGUAGGCGAAAGAGUUGGUACGGUACUAAGGAAGCGAGAAGUAGAGCGGGACACGUGGAAUCCUGUUCGAAGACGGGGGGACCAUCCUCCAAGGCUAAAUACUCGUGAUCGACCGAUAGUGAACCAGUACCGUGAGGGAAAGGCGAAAAGAACCCCGGGAGGGGAGUGAAAUAGAACCUGAAACCGCAUGCAUACAAACAGUAGGAGCCUCGUCAGAGGUGACUGCGUACCUUUUGCAUAAUGGGUCAGCGACUUACAUUCUGUGGCGAGCUUAACCGAAUAGGGGAGGCGCAGCGAAAGCGAGUUCGAAAUGAGCGUCCAGUCGCAGGGUGUAGACCCGAAACCAGAUGAGCUAUCCAUGGCCAGGUUGAAGGUGUGGUAACACACACUGGAGGACCGAACCGACUAGUGUUGCAAAAUUAGCGGAUGAGCUGUGGAUAGGGGUGAAAGGCCAAACAAAUCUGGAGAUAGCUGGUUCUCCCCGAAAACUAUUGAGGUAGUGCCUCGUGUGUCGCUCCAGGGGGUAGAGCACUGUUUUGGCUAGGGGGACAUGGAGUCUUACCAAACCAAGGCAAACUCCGAAUACCUGGAAGCGUGAGCACGGGAGACAGAGCACCGGGUGCUAACGUCCGGACUCAAAAGGGAAACAACCCAGACCGCCGGCUAAGGUCCCCAAUAACAGCUAAGUGGAAAACGAAGUGGAAAGGCCGUGACAACCAGGAAGUUGGCUUAGAAGCAGCCAUCCUUCAAAGAAAGCGUAAUAGCUCACUGGUCGAGUCCUUCUGCGCGGAAGAUGUAACGGGGCUAAGCUGUUAACCGAAGCCGCGGAUGCACUGGUAAUCCAGUGCGUGGUAGGGGAGCGGCGGUUCGAGAGGACUGCUGGAGAUAUCAGAAGUGCGAAUGCUGACAUGAGUAACGUUAAAGCAGGUGAAAAGCCUGCUCGCCGUAAGCCCAAGGAUUCCUGCUCUACGUUCAUCGGAGCAGGGUGAGUCGGCUCCUAAGGUCAGGCCGAAAGGCGUAGCCGAUGGGAAUCAGGUUAAUAUUCCUGAACCUGCGUCAGAUGCGAUGGGGGGACGGAGCAUGGAAGAUCAUCCGGGUGUUGGAAGUCCCGGUUGACGAGCGUAGGAGGUCUGCAGGCAAAUCCGCAGACGAUUCUCCAAGGCAAAGACACGUGCCGCCACGGCGGCGAAGUGAUCGGAAGUGCUUCCAAGAAAAGCCUCUAAGCCCCAGUCUGACGCGGACCGUACCGCAAACCGACACUGGUGGGCGAGCUGAAUAUGCUCAGGCGCUUGAGAGAACUCGGGAGAAGGAACUCGGCAAAUUGACCCCGUAACUUCGGAAGAAGGUGUGCCGUAGUACCGUGAGAGGAGAGACACCUUGAGCGGGAAACGGUCUCAGAGAAUAGGUGGCUGCGACUGUUUAUUAAAAACACAGCACUCUGCAAAGUCGAAAGACGACGUAUAGGGUGUGAUGCCUGCCCGGUGCUGGAAGAUUAAUUGAUGGGGUGAGAGCCCUUGAUCGAAGUCCCAGUAAACGGCGGCCGUAACUAUAACGGUCCUAAGGUAGCGAAAUUCCUUGUC